AAUGAGUUGUUUUGUCGCUUUUCAUUAUAGAUCUUAUGGGACUUUUUUUCUACAACAAAAUAGGCUCCAUAGUAUCUAUAGGGGAUUUACCCACUAUAAAUAUUAUAGAGCC
Molecule: non-coding RNA, 112 nt
Filed under: Streptococcus pneumoniae
Lineage: Bacteria; Bacillati; Bacillota; Bacilli; Lactobacillales; Streptococcaceae
Description: Streptococcus RNA 266
Rfam family: Streptococcus RNA 266
Source: RNAcentral